RNAcentral lists this transfer RNA (99 nucleotides) under Gnomoniopsis sp. IMI 355080. Its description in RNAcentral is "tRNA-Ile". It matches the Rfam family "tRNA". Rfam says of the family: Transfer RNA (tRNA) molecules are approximately 80 nucleotides in length. Their secondary structure includes four short double-helical elements and three loops (D, anti-codon, and T loops). Lineage: Eukaryota; Fungi; Ascomycota; Sordariomycetes; Diaporthales; Gnomoniaceae. The record is from RNAcentral.
GGUCCCGUAGCUCAGCUGGUCAGAGCGUCGUACUAAUAAUUCUAGUAAUAGAAUCAUUCAGUGAUGCGAAGGUCGCGGGUUCGAUCCCCUCCGGGACCA